UACGUAGGGUGCGAGCGUUAAUCGGAAUUACUGGGCGUAAAGCGUGCGCAGGCGGUUAUGUAAGAUAGAUGUGAAAUCCCCGGGCUCAACCUGGGAACUGCAUUAGUGACUGCAUAGCUGGAGUACGGCAGAGGGGGAUGGAAUUCCGCGUGUAGCAGUGAAAUGCGUAGAUAUGCGGAGGAACACCGAUGGCGAAGGCAAUCCCCUGGGCCUGUACUGACGCUCAUGCACGAAAGCGUGGGGAGCAAACAGGA
Molecule: ribosomal RNA, 254 nt
Filed under: uncultured prokaryote
Description: partial 16S ribosomal RNA
Rfam family: Bacterial small subunit ribosomal RNA
Source: RNAcentral